Molecule: long non-coding RNA, 2179 nt
Filed under: Brassica napus (rape)
Lineage: Eukaryota; Viridiplantae; Streptophyta; Magnoliopsida; Brassicales; Brassicaceae
Description: long non-coding RNA (BNAP_LNC026340)
Source: RNAcentral
AAUAUCUGGAAAGGGAAUCAUCCUUGGAUGCGUUGGAAACUUGUGCAAAAGCUUCAAGGAGCUGAGUGCUGAUGAUUCCGCAAGAGAAGCUAAGUGUGUUAUACCUCAUUACUACAAGUGUGAUCAGAAGCAGCUGCUGCUUGAUGCUGUCACUACACAUAAGCCACCAACUUACUACCGCUUUGUUUCCUUCUCUGCGAAUCAUUUUAGAGAGUACUGUUUGAGUGACAAGUCUGAUAAGCGACUUGUGUAUGCUUGGGAUAAACUCUUGCCUGUGACUUGUAUAGAUCCCAAAUCGGAAGGAAAUAACCGAUCAACAAGCCAUAGCGAAUAAAAGGUUGACACGUUAACUUUGUUCUCUUUUCCUUUUUUUUUGGGAAAAAAAUAUCUUCACCAACGGGUCUAAUUAUUUAUCUCACACAUAAAAAAAUAUCUUCACCAACGGACCUGGCCUAUUAAUAAUAUAUAACCUUUCGGUUUCUCGUUUAUUUAGACCCCAAAUAAAAAGUGGUUUAGGUUUCAGCGCUUCGCUUGCCUCUCUGUUCAUAAUCCUGUCGAAGAGAGAUAAGAGUUGCGUAAUUCACUCUAAGAUUUCGUCCAAAAGAAAGAUAUUUAGCGUAAAGGUAAGUUCGUUGAAUUCGUUUUUUAAUCGUUUUCUCUGUAAUCUGCCAUGUAAGUUUUUUUUUUUUUAAAAUUUGAGCAGAAUUUACCUUGUUUGUUUUUAAAAAGGUACCAGCUUUCCUCUCUUCAUGAGCUGCAUGCAUGAGUAAAAAAAUUCUAAACUGUUUCAGGGCAUAUCUUUAUCUCAGACAUGGCUCGGAUCUUGUUCUGCAUGUUUUUAAAAACUACCUUUUUAACUGUUUUUACUGCAGAUUUUGGGUACUGAUCUGUAUGUGUAAAAACCUUUGACACUUUUAAAAAUUGUUUCAAUGCAGAUCUUUUUGCAUCAAAAACAUGUCUGAUGAUUUGGUGAAUCCGGUGAUAAGCUUGAAGCUACUCAUAGACAAAGAGAAAAACAAGGUUGUAUAUGCUGAAUCUGGUGAAGAUUUCGUCGACAUACUCUUUAGUUUCUUGACAUUGCCAAUGGGAACACUCGUUAGAUUGCUUGAGAUGCAUCAGAAGUCAAAGUCAGUCCCCAUCGGCUGUUUCAACAAUAUCUAUGCUAGUGUAGCGAGUAUGGCGAUGAAGCAUUUCAGUACCGAAGCUUCCAAACAGAUGCUUCUCUACCCUGGGAGUUUGAAUCGCGACAAAUGCCAAAAGACCAAGCUGAGGAUAGAUGAUACACAGGCUACUAAAUGUUUCAUGUGCCCUAUGUUUGUGCGAAGCGGGGAAUGUAGUAAAGGGUAUAGCAAUUUCAACACCUCGAGGUGUAGCUGUGGGAAUUUGAUGAGUGAAGUCAUUCAGUUCCAAGGAGAAGGAGGCAGAGCAAGUGCAGGGCGGAAUGGUGGAGGAGUGUUUGUGAGGAGUGCUUCAUUCAUCAUCACUGAUGAUUUGAAUGUGGAAGUUAACUCUGUUCUGUCUACACUUAAACUUCUUAAAGAGCUUGGCUACGCAGCAGAUUGCCAUAAGCUGGUUGAGAUGAUUCUUGACGUCAAUCUCCAAGAGGCAAUAUAUUAUUCUACUUAAAAAUACUUAAUUUUGAAUAUUAAAAAAACGUUUUAAGUUCUUAACGCAGUUUCAUCUGAUUUUUUUAGGUAGCGACUUUGCUGGAGUGUUUGUUCACAUCGGAUACUCCAUUGACGGAUACAUUUCUGAAAAAGAAAAGUUCAUGCGGUCUUAAGAGGAUGCUGAGUCCUCCCGCCUUGAGCGAUGAAGAAAAAGAAGAAAGGGAAUCAAAAGGUGAUCAAACGAUAACGCUGAAUGCAUAUGUGAGGAAGAAGGAAGGGAACAUCAUGUACGUUGAGUGUGGUGAAGAUUUUGUUGAUCUUCUUUUCACUUUUCUUGCAAUGCCUCUAGAGUCUGUAUGGGGAAUAUCUGGAAAGGGAAUCAUCCUUGGAUGCGUUGGAAACUUGUGCAAAAGCUUCAAGGAGCUGAGUGCUGAUGAUUCCGCAAGAGAAGCUAAGUGUGUUAUACCUCAUUACUACAAGUGUGAUCAGAAGCAGCUGCUGCUUGAUGCUGUCACUACACAUAAGCCACCAACUUACUACCGCUUUGUUUCCUUCUCUGCGAAUCAUUUUAG